UUGAACGCUAGCGGCAUGCCUUACACAUGCAAGUCGAACGGCAGCACGGGGGGUAACCCCUGGUGGCGAGUGGCGAACGGGUGAGUAAUAUAUCGGAACGUGUCCUGUAGCGGGGGAUAACCUAUCGAAAGAUGGACUAAUACCGCAUACGACCUACGGGUGAAAGCGGAGGACCGCAAGGCUUCGCACUAUAGGAGCGGCCGAUAUCGGAUUAGCUAGUUGGCGGGGUAACGGCCCACCAAGGCGACGAUCCGUAGCUGGUCUGAGAGGACGAUCAGCCACACUGGAACUGAGACACGGUCCAGACUCCUACGGGAGGCAGCAGUGGGGAAUUUUGGACAAUGGGCGCAAGCCUGAUCCAGCCAUGCCGCGUGAGUGAAGAAGGCCUUCGGGUUGUAAAGCUCUUUCGGCGGGGACGAAACGGUUCGUGCUAAUACCACGGACUACUGACGGUACCCGCAGAAGAAGCACCGGCUAACUACGUG
This 485-nucleotide ribosomal RNA is filed under the name uncultured bacterium. RNAcentral's name for it is "partial 16S ribosomal RNA". It matches the Rfam family "Bacterial small subunit ribosomal RNA", at positions 29 to 507 of the family's 1533-position model. The record is from RNAcentral.